CGACCCCAGGUCACGUGGGAUUACCCAAAAUAGCCUAGCAUUAGAAUCAGGCGGCUCUGUCAUCCGAAUUAUAGUUUGGAGAAGCGUCCUCAGCGGUGGAGCAGGCCCAACUCCCCUGGAAGUGGGCGCUAGAGAGGGUGAGAGCCCCAUUAUGCCCGGACCCUGUCGCACCACGGGGCACUAUGUACGUGUUGGGUUGUUUUGGAAUGUAGCCCAAAUCGAGCGGUGAAUUCCGUCUAAGGCUAAAUACGAGCGACAGACCGAUAGCGAAUAAUUACCACAAGGGAAAGAUGAAAAGGACUUUGAAAAGAGAGUCAAAGAAUGAUUGAAAUUAUCGGGAGGGAAGUUGAUGGAGGCCGGUGAUGCACCCCGGUCGGAUGUGGAAUGGCGAUGAGUCGGUCCGAUGAUCGACUCAAGGCAUAGACCAGCAUAGAUUGGGGGGACGCCCAAGGCCCGGUCUCCCGAUAUGCUCGUUAAAUGCCGUCUCCUCAAUUGUGGAAGGCAGCGCACACCUCCGACAUGCUUUGGCAUCUGCGCGCUACGGACGCUGGCCUGUGGGCUCCCUAUUUAACCCAUCUUGAAAACCAGUCCCAGUCCCAAACCCAUCGGCCGUUGGUGGACUACUCGAGCUGCUCCUGUAGCGAGAGCAGGUCGCUGCGUGUCGGUUGGGUGACGGACUAGGAACGGUUCCUUCGGAGGCCUUCCCCGUGCGUCGAAUAGCCAACUCAGAACUGGAACGGACAAGGGGAAUCCGACUAUUUAAUUAAAACAAAGCAUUACGAUAGUCCCAACGGAUGUUCACGCAUUGUGAUUUCUGCCCAUUGCUCUGAAUGUCAAAGUGAAGAAAUUUAACCAAGCAUGGAUAAAUGGCGGGAGUAACUAUGACUUUCUUAUUGUAGUCAAAUACCUCGUCAUCUAAUUAGCGACGCGCAUGUAUGGAUUAAUGAGAUUCCCACUAUCCUUGUCUACUAUCCAACGAAACCACAACCAAGGGAACGGGCUUGGCAGAAUCAGCGGGGAAAGAAGACCCUCUUGAGCUUGACUCUACUCCGACUUUAUGAAAUAACUUGAGAGGUGUAGUAUAAGUGGGAGUCGAAAGGUAAAAGUGAAAUACCACUACUUUUAAUGUUAUUUACUUAUUUCGUGAAUCGGAAGUGGGGCACUGCCCCUCUUUUUAGACCCAAGGCUCGCUCUGCAGGCCGAUCCGAGAUGAAGACAUUGUCAGGUAGGGAUUUUGGCUUGGGCGGCAUAUUUGUUAAAAGAUAAUGCAGGUGUCCUAUGAUGAGCUUAACGAGAACAGAAAUAUUGUGUGGAAUAGAAUGGUAAAAGCUUGUUUGAUUCUGAUUUCCAGUAUGAAUACGAACCACGAAAGUGUGGCCCAACGAUCCUUUAGACCUUUGGAAUUUGAAGCUAGAAGUGUCGGAAAAGUGUCACCACAGGGAUAACUAGCUUGUUGCAUCCAAGCGUUCAUAGAACCAUUGCUUUUUCAUCCUUCGAUGUCGGCUAUUCCUAUCAUUGUGAAGCAGAAUUCACCAAGUAUUGGACUGUUCACCCACCAAUAGGGAACGUGAGCUGGGUUUAGACCAUCUUGAGACAGGUUAGUUUUACCCCACUUAUGACAGUGUUGCAGUAGUAAUUCAACCUAGUACGAGAGGAAACAUUGAUUCACACAAUUUUUCAUCGCACUUGGUUGAAAAGCCAGUGGCGCAAAGCUACCGUGUGCUGGAUUAUGACUAAACGUCUCUAAGUCAGAAUCCAGGCUAGAAGCGACGCAUGCGCCCGCUGUCUACUUUCUGAUCCGUAGUAGGGGCCUCGGCCCCCAAGGACAUGUAUCAUUUACUAAGACACCGCGGAGGAAGAGUCUCGGUGGCCGUCUUGAAGUGUAAUUUCCAUCAAGCGGUGGGUAGAAUCCUUUGCGGAUGACUUAAAUAUACGAUGGGUUGUUGUAAGUGAAGAGUGGCCUUGCUGCCACGAUCCACUGAGAUUCAUCUCUUUGUCACUUUAAUUCAU
This is a non-coding RNA of Capsicum annuum, 2010 nucleotides long. The record is from Rfam. Lineage: Eukaryota; Viridiplantae; Streptophyta; Magnoliopsida; Solanales; Solanaceae.